This 257-nucleotide ribosomal RNA is filed under the name uncultured Staphylococcus sp. Its description in RNAcentral is "partial 16S ribosomal RNA". It matches the Rfam family "Bacterial small subunit ribosomal RNA", at positions 83 to 334 of the family's 1533-position model. Lineage: Bacteria; Bacillati; Bacillota; Bacilli; Caryophanales; Staphylococcaceae. The record is from RNAcentral.
CCUUUGACGUUAGCGGCGGACGGGUGAGUAACACGUGGGUAACCUACCUAUAAGACUGGGAUAACUUCAGGAAACCGGAGCUAAUACCGGAUAACAUUUGGAACCGCAUGGUUCUAAAGUGAAAGAUGGUUUUGCUAUCACUUAUAGAUGGACCCGCGCCGUAUUAGCUAGUUGGUAAGGUAACGGCUUACCAAGGCGACGAUACGUAGCCGACCUGAGAGGGUGAUCGGCCACACUGGAACUGAGACACGGUCCAG